GACGAACGCUGGCGGCGUGCUUAACACAUGCAAGUCGAACGGAAAGGCCUGCUUUCCCUUGUGGAUUGCGGGUGCUCGAGUGGCGAACGGGUGAGUAACACGUGCGUGAUCUGCCCCCAACUUGGGUAUAAGCCUGGGAAACUGGGUCUAAUUCCCGAUAGGACUGCAGGGUGGUGCCUGUGGUGGAAAACGAUUUUCUAGUGGUUGGGGAUGAGCUCGCGGCCUAUCAGCUGGUUGGUGGGGUAAUGGCCUACCAAGGCGGCGACGGGUAGCCGGCCUGGGAGGGUGGACGGCCACAUUGGGACUGAGAUACGGCCCAGACUCCUACGGGAGGCAGCAGUGGGGAAUAUUGCACAAUGGGCGGAAGCCUGAUGCAGCGACGCCGCGUGGGGGAUGACGGCCUUCGGGUUGUAAACUCCUUUCGACCGCGAGGAAGCCACCUGGUUGGAAGGGUGGUGACGGUAGUGGGAGAAGAAGCACCGGCUAACUACGUG
This 494-nucleotide ribosomal RNA is filed under the name uncultured bacterium. Its description in RNAcentral is "partial 16S ribosomal RNA". It matches the Rfam family "Bacterial small subunit ribosomal RNA", at positions 28 to 507 of the family's 1533-position model. The record is from RNAcentral.